This 307-nucleotide ribosomal RNA is filed under the name uncultured bacterium. RNAcentral describes it as "partial 16S ribosomal RNA". It matches the Rfam family "Bacterial small subunit ribosomal RNA", at positions 506 to 807 of the family's 1533-position model. The record is from RNAcentral.
AGACAGCAGUAGCCGCGGUAAUACGUAGGGCGCAAGCGUUAUCCGGAAUUAUUGGGCGUAAAGAGCUCGUAGGCGGUUUGUCGCGUCUGCCGUGAAAGUCCGGGGCUCAACCCCGGAUCUGCGGUGGGUACGGGCAGACUAGAGUGAUGUAGGGGAGACUGGAAUUCCUGGUGUAGCGGUGAAAUGCGCAGAUAUCAGGAGGAACACCGAUGGCGAAGGCAGGUCUCUGGGCAUUAACUGACGCUGAGGAGCGAAAGCAUGGGGAGCGAACAGGAUUAGAUACCCCAGUAGUCCCUGUCUCUUAUAC